This 85-nucleotide transfer RNA is filed under the name Nitrospina sp. RNAcentral describes it as "tRNA-Ser". The stretch from base 11 to 82 matches the Rfam family "tRNA". From Rfam's summary of the family: Transfer RNA (tRNA) molecules are approximately 80 nucleotides in length. Their secondary structure includes four short double-helical elements and three loops (D, anti-codon, and T loops). Lineage: Bacteria; Pseudomonadati; Nitrospinota; Nitrospinia; Nitrospinales; Nitrospinaceae. RNAcentral also lists the same sequence under 1 other name. The record is from RNAcentral.
GUGUUGUUAUGAGUUGUUGCGAGUUAUGCGAAGUAACUGACUCUUAAUCAGUAGGUCCUCGGUUCGAUCCCGAGACGGCCCACCA